AGAGUUUGAUCCUGGCUCAGGACGAACGCUGGCGGCGUGCUUAACACAUGCAAGUCGAGCGAUGAAACACCUUCGGGUGUGAAUUAGCGGCGAACGGGUGAGGAACACGUGAAGAAUCUGCCUUCAACUCUGGGAUAACUCCGGGAAACCGGGGCUAAUACCGGAUAUGAGCCUUGAUCGCAUGAUCGGGGCUGGAAAGUUUUUCGGUUGAAGAUGACUUCGCGGCCUAUCAGCUUGUUGGUGAGGUAAUGGCUCACCAAGGCGACGACGGGUAGCCGGCCUGAGAGGGCGACCGGCCACACUGGGACUGAGACACGGCCCAGACUCCUACGGGAGGCAGCAGUGGGGAAUAUUGGGCAAUGGAGGAAACUCUGACCCAGCGACGCCGCGUGAGGGAUGAAGGCCUUCGGGUUGUAAACCUCUUUCAGUAGGGAAGAAGCGAAAGUGACGGUACCUACAGAAGAAGCACCGGCUAACUAUGUGCCAGCAGCCGCGGUAAUACAUAGGGUGCAAGCGUUGUCCGGAAUUAUUGGGCGUAAAGAGCUCGUAGGUGGUUCGAUACGUCGGAUGUGAAAAUCAGGGGCUCAACCCCUGACCUGCAUCCGAUACGGUCGAGCUAGAGUUUGGUAGGGGAGACUGGAAUUCCUGGUGUAGCGGUGGAAUGCGCAGAUAUCAGGAGGAACACCGAUGGCGAAGGCAGGUCUCUGGGCCAAUACUGACACUGAGGAGCGAAAGCGUGGGGAGCGAACAGGAUUAGAUACCCUGGUAGUCCACGCCGUAAACGGUGGGCGCUAGUGUGCGAACCUUCCACGGUUUGUGCGACGCAGCUAACGCAUUAAGCGCUCCCGCUGGGGGAGUACGAUCGCAGAUUAAAACUCAAAGGAAUUGACGGGGNCCGCACAGCAGCGGAGCAUGCGGCU
This 920-nucleotide ribosomal RNA is filed under the name uncultured bacterium. RNAcentral's name for it is "bacterial SSU rRNA". It matches the Rfam family "Bacterial small subunit ribosomal RNA", at positions 8 to 946 of the family's 1533-position model. The record is from RNAcentral.